This is a small nucleolar RNA of Nannospalax galili (Upper Galilee mountains blind mole rat), 264 nucleotides long. The record is from Ensembl. Lineage: Eukaryota; Metazoa; Chordata; Mammalia; Rodentia; Spalacidae.
GCUGGCUGAUGAAACUAAGGCGAAUGCGACUCUGCCUGCUGACCCUUGGCUUCUGGGGGAGGGGGUAGGUGGGAUCUGAAAUCUUGGUGGGGGUGCCUAAGGACUGGCUUCCUGCUGUAAGGCCAGAUCAAUAGCACUGCUGGCCUUGCCUUCAUGUCUGCUGUCACCACAGUUCCUGACAGCACCCUAUAGGGAGGCCCACAGGGGGUGGCCAAAGUGUGGUUAGGCAUGAGCUAUGUGAGCACAACCUUGCAUCUGACAGCC